RNAcentral lists this ribosomal RNA (253 nucleotides) under uncultured bacterium. RNAcentral's name for it is "partial 16S ribosomal RNA". It matches the Rfam family "Bacterial small subunit ribosomal RNA", at positions 524 to 776 of the family's 1533-position model. The record is from RNAcentral.
UACGUAGGGCGCAAGCGUUGUCCGGAAUUAUUGGGCGUAAAGAGCUCGUAGGCGGUCUGUUGCGUCCGCUGUGAAAACUCGGGGCUUAACCCCGAGCCUGCAGUGGAUACGGGCAGACUAGAGGUAGGUAGGGGAGAAUGGAAUUCCCGGUGUAGCGGUGAAAUGCGCAGAUAUCUGGAGGAACACCGGUGGCGAAGGCGGCAUCCUGGACCAACACUGACGCUGAUGAGCGAAAGCCAGGGGGGCAAACGGG